Molecule: ribosomal RNA, 253 nt
Filed under: uncultured bacterium
Lineage: Bacteria
Description: partial 16S ribosomal RNA
Rfam family: Bacterial small subunit ribosomal RNA
Source: RNAcentral
UACGUAGGGGGCAAGCGUUGUCCGGAUUUAUUGGGCGUAAAGAGCGUGUAGGCGGUCAGGUAGGUCCGUUGUGAAAACUCGAGGCUCAACCUCGAGACGCCGAUGGAAACCAUCUGACUAGAGUCCGGAAGAGGAGAGUGGAAUUCCUGGUGUAGCGGUGAAAUGCGCAGAUAUCAGGAAGAACACCCGUGGCUAAGGCGGCUCUCUAGUACGGUACUGACGCUGAGGCGCGAAAGCGUGGGGAGCGAACAGG